CAGAUCUAUAUCUGUGAUAGUUACUUUAUAUUCAAUAUUCAUUUUCAUUAUUCAAUAUGUCAACUAGAAGCCAAAACGCAAUGAGUUUCUCAGAGGAAGUACAGUGGCACUCUGUUCAUAAUGUUCAUACAUUAGUUUUUAGAUCACUCAAAAAGGACUCAUGAUAUGUUUUUAUCAUGUCAAAGGAUGCUUCCACCACAAUAGAUGAAGAAGCAUAAAUUGAUUUGUGCACUGUAAUGUAAUGAAACAAUGUUUUUAAUUUUUUUUUAUUGUUUGUGUAUAGGGAGAACUGGGAGAAGAUUAAAAAAAACUCUUUAAAGCUCGAAAUUGUUAUGGUCUGGUUUUUGACAAAGUGGAACAAAAUAAGAUAAACAUAAAGAAAUCUCAACUAGCUGAUAAUCCUGAGAAAUUAAAUAAAAACACAGAGAAAAGUAUGGUUUUAUUGAGUCUAAGUACACAAAACAUAGCUGCUGCUAAUCAACUGAUUAAUCAUAUUAUGCCAAAACCAAAAUGGCAUCCUCCAYGGUCCACAAAAGUUAUACGGAGUAAUUAUACUGGGUUAAKUGUGCUGUGUUACUGWAGUGAAUGGUAAUGAAUGAUUUGCUACUGAUGCUGCUGAUUGAGUUAUUAAAGUAAUACUACAAAAMAAUUUCAUGAUAUAUAAUAUCUAUUUGUAUUUGAUAUAUUUUUUUGGUUU
Diuraphis noxia (Russian wheat aphid) is the source of this 697-nucleotide long non-coding RNA. Lineage: Eukaryota; Metazoa; Arthropoda; Insecta; Hemiptera; Aphididae. The record is from RefSeq and is a predicted model, not a curated record.